GUGUCAGCAGCCGCGGUAAUACGAAGGGACCUAGCGUAGUUCGGAAUUACUGGGCUUAAAGAGUUCGUAGGUGGUUAAAAAAGUUGGUGGUGAAAUCCCAGAGCUUAACUCUGGAACUGCCAUCAAAACUUUUUAGCUAGAGUAUGAUAGAGGAAAGCAGAAUUUCUAGUGUAGAGGUGAAAUUCGUAGAUAUUAGAAAGAAUACCAAUUGCGAAGGCAGCUUUCUGGAUCAUUACUGACACUGAGGAACGAAAGCAUGGGUAGCGAAGAGGAUUAGAUACCCUCGUAGUCCAUGCCGUAAACGAUGUGUGUUAGACGUUGGAAAUUUAUUUUCAGUGUCGCAGCGAAAGCAAUAAACACACCGCCUGGGGAGUACGACCGCAAGGUUAAAACUCAAAUGAAUUGACGGGGACCCGCACAAGUAGUGGAGCAUGUGGUUUAAUUCGAAGAUACGCGCAGAACCUUACCAACACUUGACAUGUUCGUCGCGACUCUAAGAGAUUAGAGUUUUCGGUUCGGCCGGACGAAACACAGGUGCUGCAUGGCUGUCGUCAGCUCGUGUCGUGAGAUGUUGGGUUAAGUCCCGCAACGAGCGCAACCCUCACUUUUAGUUGCCAUCAUUUAGUUGGGCACUCUGAAAGAACUGCCAGUGAUAAGCUGGAGGAAGGUGGGGAUGACGUCAAGUCCUCAUGGCCCUUAUGUGUUGGGCUACACACGUGCUACAAUGGUAUUUACAACAGGAAGCAAGACGGCAACGUUAAGCAAAUCCCUAAAAAAUACCUCAGUUCGGAUUGCACUCUGCAACUCGAGUGCAUGAAGCUGGAAUUACUAGUAAUCGUGGAUCAGCGUGCCAC
This 854-nucleotide ribosomal RNA is filed under the name uncultured bacterium. RNAcentral describes it as "bacterial SSU rRNA". It matches the Rfam family "Bacterial small subunit ribosomal RNA", at positions 505 to 1360 of the family's 1533-position model. The record is from RNAcentral.